CCUACGGUGUGCUGCAGUGGGGAAUAUUGCACAAUGGGGGAAACCCUGAUGCAGCAACGCCGCGUGAGUGAAGAAGUAUUUCGGUAUGUAAAGCUCUAUCAGCAGGGAAGAAGAAAGACGGUACCUGACUAAGAAGCCCCGCCUAACUACGUGCCAGCAGCCGCGGUAUUACGUAGGUGGCAUGCGUUAUCCGGAUUUACUGGGUGAAAGGGGAGCGUAGGUGGAAGGGCAAGUCAGUUUGUAAAACCCGGGGUUAAACCCCGGGAGUGCUUUUGAAACUGUCCAGCUGGAGUGAGGGGGGGGUAGGCGGAAUGCCUAGUGUAGCGGUGAAAGGAAUAGAAAUAAGGGGAAAAA
RNAcentral lists this ribosomal RNA (354 nucleotides) under uncultured bacterium. RNAcentral describes it as "partial 16S ribosomal RNA". It matches the Rfam family "Bacterial small subunit ribosomal RNA", at positions 338 to 708 of the family's 1533-position model. The record is from RNAcentral.